GUGGGUAUAGCUCUGGUAGAGUGCCUGCUUAGCAUGUAUGAGAUCCUGGGUUCAGUUCCCAGUACCUCCA
This 70-nucleotide transfer RNA is filed under the name Camelus bactrianus (Bactrian camel). It matches the Rfam family "tRNA". Rfam says of the family: Transfer RNA (tRNA) molecules are approximately 80 nucleotides in length. Lineage: Eukaryota; Metazoa; Chordata; Mammalia; Artiodactyla; Camelidae. The record is from Rfam by way of RNAcentral. RNAcentral also lists the same sequence under 2 other names.